UUUUUUUUUUUUUUAAGUGUCUGCCAAGAGCUUUCUCCUUUCCUCUGUGUUGAUUAUGCUUUGGCUAUGGAAACGGGUCUUCAUCUGUUUGCUAAUGGAAGAAGAGACACGUGAGGGUAGAAGUGUUGAGUCCACUUUGAGGCUUUCUCCUUCGGUUAAAAGAGAUUGAGAUACCACUGAACUCCGUCUCUUUUUCUAUGGUUAUGUUUUCCUAAGCUUCUAGGUUUUUGUUUCAUAGCCUUAGGGCUUGUAUUGUAUUUAAAUCUUAGUUCAGCUACUCGGUUUUCGGUGCUAUAGAACUUGGGGUGCUCUGUUUUUAGGCAAUAAUGCCAUGCAUAACUUCGGGCUUGAUCUCCAGGAUGAAGUGUCUUCCUCGGAUAAAGCUGCGGCAAAAGCGUGGUGACGCGUGAAUCUUAACGCUACUAAGGGUUUGCAAAAGUGAGUACUAGGGUUUGUUUUGUUGGGCUGGGUUUGAUUUGUUAGGUUGGGUUUGUUUAGCUGGGUUGGUUUAGCUCUUUGGUUAUUUAAGGCCCCUUUUACUAGUGAAA
This 548-nucleotide unclassified non-coding RNA is filed under the name Hevea brasiliensis (rubber tree). The record is from RNAcentral. Lineage: Eukaryota; Viridiplantae; Streptophyta; Magnoliopsida; Malpighiales; Euphorbiaceae.